AUAUCGGAAUUAUCAGAUCAGAUUUUAGACAACUGGAAGAGAACCUCGAUGACAAAUUGAAAAACGUCCAGGGUUUUGGAAAAGAGGAAAUUUUCAAUAAAAUUGAAGAACAAUCGAUGGGAAUUAAUAAGCUCCAAGAGAAAGUUAUGCAACAGUCUGAUGAAGUAAAGAAAUUGAAAGAAGAUUUUGCCAAACUCCGUACGAUAGAGUUGGAUGAGCAGAAGAAAAUUGUGGAACAAACUGCUGAGAUCAGUGAGCUGAAGAAA
Molecule: non-coding RNA, 266 nt
Organism: Styela clava
Lineage: Eukaryota; Metazoa; Chordata; Ascidiacea; Stolidobranchia; Styelidae
Source: RefSeq, a predicted model, not a curated record